This 442-nucleotide ribosomal RNA is filed under the name uncultured Olivibacter sp. Its description in RNAcentral is "bacterial SSU rRNA". It matches the Rfam family "Bacterial small subunit ribosomal RNA", at positions 355 to 794 of the family's 1533-position model. Lineage: Bacteria; Pseudomonadati; Bacteroidota; Sphingobacteriia; Sphingobacteriales; Sphingobacteriaceae. The record is from RNAcentral.
UAAGGGAUAUUGGUCAAUGGGCGGGAGCCUGAACCAGCCAUGCCGCGUGAGGGAAUGAGGCCCUACGGGUCGUAAACCUCUUUUGCCGGGGGAUAACGGGCGCCACGCGUGGCGCCGUGAAGGUACCCGGAGAAUAAGCAUCGGCUAACUCCGUGCCAGCAGCCGCGGUAAUACGGAGGAUGCGAGCGUUAUCCGGAUUUAUUGGGUUUAAAGGGUGCGCAGGCGGGCGUCUAAGUCAGCGGUGAAAUGGUGUGGCUCAACCAUAGCAUUGCCGUUGAAACUGAUACCCUUGAGUGCAGUAGAGGUAUGCGGAAUGUGUUGUGUAGCGGUGAAAUGCAUAGAUAUGACACAGAACACCGAUUGCGAAGGCAGCAUACUGGACUGUAACUGACGCUGAAGCACGAAAGCGUGGGGAUCGAACAGGAUUAGAUACCCUGGUAGU